Molecule: transfer RNA, 72 nt
Filed under: Mayetiola destructor (Hessian fly)
Lineage: Eukaryota; Metazoa; Arthropoda; Insecta; Diptera; Cecidomyiidae
Description: tRNA-Pro for anticodon AGG
Rfam family: tRNA
About the family: Transfer RNA (tRNA) molecules are approximately 80 nucleotides in length.
Source: RNAcentral
GGCGAUGUGGUCUAGGGGUAUGAUACUCGCUUAGGGUGCGAGUGGUCCCGCGUUCGAAUCGCGGCAUCGCCC